AAAAAGGUAAGCUAAAUAAGCUAUUGGGUUCAUACCCCACUUAUAAAGGCCCCUCCUCCUUUCCUUUUUA
This 70-nucleotide transfer RNA is filed under the name Cassena terminalis. RNAcentral describes it as "tRNA-Met". Lineage: Eukaryota; Metazoa; Arthropoda; Insecta; Coleoptera; Chrysomelidae. The record is from RNAcentral.